AGCAAGAUCAGCUAAUUAAGCUCUUGGGCCCAUACCCCAAAAAUAUGGGUGAAAACCCCUUUCCUGCUA
This 69-nucleotide transfer RNA is filed under the name Sudis atrox (fierce pike smelt). Its description in RNAcentral is "tRNA-Met". Lineage: Eukaryota; Metazoa; Chordata; Actinopteri; Aulopiformes; Paralepididae. The record is from RNAcentral.